Small nucleolar RNA from Juglans regia (Persian walnut), 139 nucleotides. RefSeq annotates it as small nucleolar RNA Z247. Lineage: Eukaryota; Viridiplantae; Streptophyta; Magnoliopsida; Fagales; Juglandaceae. The record is from RefSeq and is a predicted model, not a curated record. The transcript has a single exon.
CCUCUCUUGGAUUGUGAGUUCAUCAGCUACAUCAUGGCUGGUCUUGGGUUAGAAUAUGAUCCUCUAACAACCUCUCUCACUACACAACUUGAUCCACUGUCUAUCCAAGAGGUUUAUGGUCAUCUCUUUCAAUAUGAGA